RNAcentral lists this small nuclear RNA (115 nucleotides) under Neogale vison (American mink). Its description in RNAcentral is "Neovison vison (American mink) U4 spliceosomal RNA (ENSNVIG00000003363.1)". It matches the Rfam family "U4 spliceosomal RNA". From Rfam's summary of the family: U4 small nuclear RNA (U4 snRNA) is a component of the major U2-dependent spliceosome. The structure of U4 snRNA from yeast and human has been reported. Lineage: Eukaryota; Metazoa; Chordata; Mammalia; Carnivora; Mustelidae. The record is from Rfam by way of RNAcentral.
AGCUUUGUGCAGUGGCAGUAUCGUAGCCAAUGAGGUUUAUCCGAGGCGCGAUUAUUGCUAAUUAAAAAGAAGAAUUCAAAGAACAAGAAUGUACUUCUGGAAAAUAAAAUGUGAC